AUAUAUAUAUAAAUUAUAUAUACAAUAUGCAUAUGUAUGCAUAACCAUACGUUGAUAUGUGGUAAUUAAAAUAUAAUAUGUUGACAUAUUGCCAUUUUUGGAAGGGAAGAACAGUAUGGAAGAAGAAAAUAAGAGAGAGGAGGAGGAGGAGAGUAGAAAGAAGGAAAUAUUAAAGUAAAUGAAUUUUCUGUUGCUAUGCCAGGUCUAGCAAGGAGAAAGAGAGGAAGAGAAAGAUAAAAGGAAACAAAAGAAGAUGAUAGAGAGAGAGAGAAAAGAGACAACUUGAUGGCUGCUGUUUUAAUAAUUUGAGAGAGACGAGGGCUUUUGUUUUGUUGUUUAGAAGCAUUUAAAAACAAAAAAAAGUAAAUAUUUCAUUGUGACGCCGCCUUUGGCUUCUCGGGUGUUAGCGAGUGCCUCGCCCCAACAAGCAAGGUGAGGGGGUGGCACGUUGCCUCACUCGCCUCUCCUCUUGCCUUUUGCCGUGUUAUGGUCUUAGGUUAAGAAUCUGGUUAUGGGUCUUUUGGGUAAGGAGUGUGGAUGGUGUUUGAGUAGGUAGGUUGGGGUUUUUCUUUUUGCGACCUAUGAUAGCUGUUAGUUUAGACUCUAGAGAGGGAACCUGGAAGUGUUCAAAGACUUUAAUUGAUUUUGAAAGCUGCUUCUCUCAUUGAUGUUAUUGUUUAAAUAUAGGAGUGAGGCAUAACUACCUCCUACAUUAAGGAAGCAUUACUUCUAAUUGGAGGAGCACCCUCCUACAACUAGGAACAACUAAAAGAAAGUGGAGGAACUCCCUCCUACAAAACUGGAAUCACAACUCAAAAAAAAAAAACUGAAUGCAUAAAAUAAUAAAAAUAGUUGAAUAAGUCAAACUCCACAUGGAAUAGUCUAGGAGUUCAAUCCGUGGCUGUUUGGUCUUGAGUCCAUGUGUGUAAUGUGUGUAGACUUGCAGAUGUUUGGUAACAUGCCACCUUUAAUAACACUGUUCUGCAAUGUAGGAUGCACAGCCCUGAUCCUCAACACUGUUGCCGUUAUAAUGAUUAGAGAAGUAUGUUUGUGCAUUUCGCUUUCAUGGUUGUGUAUUAGGAGAGGGCAGAUUUCUAUUUUUAAUAUUGUUGAUAGCAACAAAAAUACCUUUCCCCAAUCUAUGCUUCACUUACGUUGUUAAACGAAAUCUUUGGAGUUUUCUGAUAACAUGCCCUGAUAACAACAAUAUUGUUGAUAACAAUAUUUUUAAUAUUGUUGAUAGCAACAAAAAUACCAUUCCCCAAUCUAUGCUUCACUUACGUUGUUAAACGAAAUCUUUGGAGUUUUCUGAUAACAUGCCCUGACAGGGAUCUUGGCUUCUCCUGUUGGGCGGUUGAUGCUAGCAGAUGCAAGAGGUUGCUGGAGAACGUGGAGGCUACC
Molecule: long non-coding RNA, 1401 nt
Filed under: Manihot esculenta (cassava)
Lineage: Eukaryota; Viridiplantae; Streptophyta; Magnoliopsida; Malpighiales; Euphorbiaceae
Description: long non-coding RNA (MESC_LNC009276)
Source: RNAcentral